UACGUAGGGUGCAAGCGUUAAUCGGAAUUACUGGGCGUAAAGCGUGCGCAGGCGGUUGUGCAAGACCGAUGUGAAAGCCCCGGGCUUAACCUGGGAACGGCAUUGGUGACUGCACGGCUAGAGUGUGUCAGAGGGGGGUAGAAUUCCACGUGUAGCAGUGAAAUGCGUAGAGAUGUGGAGGAAUACCGAUGGCGAAGGCAGCCCCCUGGGAUGACACUGACGCUCAUGCACGAAAGCGUGGGGAGCAAACAGG
This 253-nucleotide ribosomal RNA is filed under the name uncultured bacterium. RNAcentral describes it as "partial 16S ribosomal RNA". It matches the Rfam family "Bacterial small subunit ribosomal RNA", at positions 524 to 776 of the family's 1533-position model. The record is from RNAcentral.